GAUCCUGGCUCAGGAUGAACGCUAGCUACAGGCUUAACACAUGCAAGUCGAGGGGAAACGGCAUAGAGUGCUUGCACUCUUUGGACGUCGACCGGCGCACGGGUGAGUAACGCGUAUCCAACCUUCCCAUUACUGUGGGAUAACCUGCCGAAAGGCAGACUAAUACCGCAUGGUCUUCGAUGACGGCAUCAGAUUUGAAGUAAAGAUUUAUCGGUAAUGGAUGGGGAUGCGU
This 232-nucleotide ribosomal RNA is filed under the name uncultured bacterium. Its description in RNAcentral is "partial 16S ribosomal RNA". It matches the Rfam family "Bacterial small subunit ribosomal RNA", at positions 15 to 236 of the family's 1533-position model. The record is from RNAcentral.